Molecule: non-coding RNA, 148 nt
Organism: Caenorhabditis elegans
Lineage: Eukaryota; Metazoa; Nematoda; Chromadorea; Rhabditida; Rhabditidae
Source: Ensembl
GACUUCAGAAGCCAUUGUUGGUGCACCGGUGACAGCACUUUGGUCCAUUGCAGAUUGUCCUCCGUCGGUCAUUUCUAUUUUUCUUCUUUAACGAUUUUCACCAAAAGGCGGUUGGUAUUGGAUUUGUGAGUGGCACGGAGUGCUGAAA